This 1236-nucleotide long non-coding RNA is filed under the name Coturnix japonica (Japanese quail). Its description in RNAcentral is "lncRNA (ENSCJPG00005017685.1)". The record is from RNAcentral. Lineage: Eukaryota; Metazoa; Chordata; Aves; Galliformes; Phasianidae.
AUAAGACAGUAUUCAUAGAUAAUUCAUUUUCUUCUUGUCUCCAGGACUGUAAUACUUCAGAGAACCAUGGCCAGUGAUUGUCUGAAGAAAAUUAAUUUCUGUAGAGUAUUCAAGAUAAUUUUGUCUGUGAAUACCAGUAAUAACACUGUACUUCAUUUCUCCACUUCUAUGCACAGUUUGACCGGGAUUCUUUUUACCCUUAUUUCUACACUUUAAACAACUGUUUAUAUAAGCAGGUAAGUUUUCUUUUUUUUCUUCAUUUCUUACUUCUUCACUGCAAUUUUUUUUACUUUUUUUUUUCUUUUAAAAGAAAAUUCCCUUUUCUUUUCCCCCUAAAAUGUAUAAUGCUCUUUACUCGCUCUUAAUAAUUUAAAUAGAUGUUUUCCAGCCUGGCUGAAGAAUGUCUGAAACAGUUUGAAGUUCAAGGGGAUGUUUGUGUGUGUUUUGGCCUAUGUUAAGCAGUUAAAAAAGAGUGCUGGUGUCUUACUAGAGGAAACUUCUGGCUUCCAACUGAGAACCUCUUGAGAGCUUAUUUGUUGCUGUACGUGCUCUGUCUGGUAUGGCACUGAUACUUUUCACAUUUUAGAGAUUUCUCUUUAUGACCACCACUUCUUCUGUGAGUAUUCUAGCUUCUCCUCUCCUUCUCUUUUUCUUUGUAGGGAAAUAGAAUUAAUGAAAGCUAAAAAAACAAGCCAAAACAAAACUAAGCACAACUCCCAGCAAUGUCUCUGAAAAGUAACCUGCCAAAAGAGAAGGGAAACUAUUCUCCAGUUCCCUUAUGGUAUGCAUAAUAGAGCUCCAUUCUCAGCCUCCACCUUCUGUCCUGAUACCUCAAGAUGAUCGAUGCUUUAGCCAGCAUCAUCUGAACCACUUGGGAACAGAGGCUCCUGGAAAUGGGUGCCACUCCAUAGAGCGUAUCACCAGGUGGUGGGACCUCUGUCCCUCAUUAGGGUGUCCUCCUGGGGAAAUCAUCAUCUCUGAGAGCAGGAGAUAGAAAGGAGGAUAGAGGAAUUUUGGGAGAAAACGGGAAAAAAAAACAAACAACACAACGGGAAAAUAUAAAAGAAAAAGGUGAAAGAAGAUGAAAGAAUUGGAACUUUUUGAGUACGUGUAAGUAUUGAGAGCAUUUCUAUAAUAUCCUUUCUUUUCUUUUUCCCCUCCAGAAAUUUUAUAUAAUCUUAAUGUAAGUGAAUCAACUGUAUGUAAUAGUUUUUCUUAGUUUUGUCCAUCAGUUUC